GACGAACGCUGGCGGCGUGCUUAACACAUGCAAGUCGAGCGGAAAGGCCACUUCGGUGGUACUCGAGCGGCGAACGGGUGAGUAACACGUGAGUAAUAUGCCCCUCACUUUGGGCUAGCAACCGGAAACGGUGAUUAAUACCGGAUAUGACUUUCUGUCGCAUGGCGUGUGGUGGGAAGGUUUUCGGUGAGGGAUGUGCUGGCGGCCUGUCAGCAUGAUGGUGCAGUGAUGGCUCACGAUGGCUUCGACGGGUAGCCGGCCUGAACGGGUGACCGGCCACACUGGGACGGAGACACGGCCCAGACGCCGACGGGAGGCAGCAGUGGGGAAUAGUGGACUAUGGGCGGAAGCCUGAUCCAGCAACGCCGCGUGAGGGAUGACGGCCUUCGGGUUGUAAACCUCUUUCAGUACCGACGAAGCGCAAGUGACGGUAGGGACAGAAGAAGCACCGGCCAACUACGUG
This 463-nucleotide ribosomal RNA is filed under the name uncultured bacterium. RNAcentral's name for it is "partial 16S ribosomal RNA". It matches the Rfam family "Bacterial small subunit ribosomal RNA", at positions 28 to 507 of the family's 1533-position model. The record is from RNAcentral.